Molecule: non-coding RNA, 192 nt
Organism: Lonchura striata (white-rumped munia)
Lineage: Eukaryota; Metazoa; Chordata; Aves; Passeriformes; Estrildidae
Source: RefSeq, a predicted model, not a curated record
GAAUGAGACAACUCUACCCAAAGGACUGGCCAUGAACAAGGCACACUGGAGCAACAAAAGCUACUGCUCACAAGAAUGGAGCAACUUCCCUACAAGAUCUAUAACCAAGGACUUUUGGAGAAGCUAAGGCAUCUAAAAGCAAUGGACACCCUUCAAAAGCAUGUACAUAAUCAAAUACAGAUCAAGCUGUGC